UCUUGCCCUUCCACCUAGUUUCCAUGUUAUGAUGCAGCAAGAAGGCCCUUGCCAGAUGUGGCUCCUGGAUUGUGGACUUUUCAGCCCCCAGAACUGUGAGCCAAACAAACUUCUUUUGUUCAUAACUUCCCCAGUCUGUGAUAUCCUGUUACAGCAGCAGAAAAUGGACUAAGACACCCAGGGAUGUACCUGGAACCUGGAAAAAGCUGUUGGAAGGUAGCUAGAGAAGAGCUCAUCACAGCAGUAUAAGGACAAUCUCUGCUCUUGUACGCUCAGGGGCAGAUCUGCAUCACGGGCUUGCAUGUCCAAUUUCACCUUGGCACUUGCUUCUCCGAGGGUCUGGACAUGGGGCUUCGUUUGAGUCUGGAAGCAGUGGAGAGGGGCCAGAAGCUCCAGGCCUUGGCUUGGAGAUCUCUACAGGUGUGCAUGGAGAUGUUUGAAGUGCUAAUGGCUGAGACAGAGCAAGUGGCAGAGGCCUAGGAGACGGAGGCUGAAAGAGUCUGAGGAGGAAAGGAGGCACUGAGGGACUCACAUGAAGCUACUCUGUCAGCAUUCUAAAACUUCUGACAUUCUUUUCUAUGAAGAUAAUUGAAUCACCAAAUUUGAUGAAAUGUUCCCCAAAUAUCAGGUGAAAAAAACUCAUCUAAACCUUUGGACUUGGAAUUGCCCACAUAGACCACAUCAGCAAUGGAAGACAGAGCAAAUAACAUGUCGGUUCAAUGUAUGAAGGAGCUUUUCUUUCCCCUGCCCCAACCCUCAGACAGGUAAAUCUGUGAAAGCUCUAUUUUGAUUCUUUUUAAAUUAUUUGUUUUACAUGUUUUGUGUUUUAUGUUGGCUGAUUCCAAAUGGUUGAAAUAGUGGAGGUCCAACAACCAUUUUCACAGUGUAAUCUUCAGAAGUUCAUCCUUUGGGUUGUAAUUUCAUGAUAAGGAGGAGCAAGAAGAUGCUUUUUGUAACUCAAAUAGCAUCUUCUGAGAAAGGUCUCUAUUUUCACUUGUGUCUUAACUUACAACUGUGUUCAACUCUAUUUCCUUUCCUUGCUUUACAUUUUUUCUUAUGCACCUAUAAUUAUCCAAUUUACUAUAUAUUUUAUAUUUGUCUGUUAUUGUCUGUUUUCUCCACUAAAACAUAAACUUCUUGCAGGAUUUUUGUCUGUUUUUCUCACUGUUGAAUCCCAAAAGCAAAGAAGAAUACCUAGCAUAGAGUUAGUGUUCAAGAAACAUUUGCUAAAUGGAUGAACACCUCUUCAUUUUAUGAGAAAUGAAUCUUCCCCAAGAAGGGGCUCCCGGGUGCAUCUUGUGUGUAGACAUCUCUAUGUCCCCAGGCUGCUGUAGAGCUGAGUCAUCUUUGUGCCCACACCUGGGAAGCAGGACCCUUGUUCGUGUUUCUUUGGCCUUGGGCAUGUCAGUGAGUAAGGAGGAUGUGUGGGAUCUGUGUCCAUAUUUACGUAAGAAAGCAAUAUAGCCUACUGCCCCUUUCAUUUUCAGCAAGUGUGUGUUUACACUGGCCUGGGAUCUACUAUAAAGUUUAAUGUUUGGUUAUACAUUUAUUUCUCAGCUACUUUUGUGAAUAAACAUUUUCUAAAACAUAUCUAUUUUAAAAGUGACAAUGUUUGAAUGAAAGAAAGAGGAGGAGUGAAGCCUGGUAGUUAAUUUGCAGAACUUAGAGCCUGAAUUUUUUGGGUUGGAUCUUUGAUUUUACCAUUCAUUAGUUUUGUGAUCUUCCUCAAUUUCCCAAUCUGUAAAAUGGAAAUAAUAAUAGUACCUACCUCAUGGGAUGUCAAGAGUAAAUAUAAAAAAUGUGUGACACCCAGGAAUGACUAUAUAAGUACUAGCAGUUAAUAUUAUUUAUUAUUAUUAUUCCUGCUUGAAUAAUCACUUUGAGCUAAAUCACUUUGUUUUUACUACUAGCAAUAAGCAUGCUUAAAUACUUUUAAUGUUAUUAUAAUUUGUAUUAUAGUAGACUAAUCUGGAAUUUUAUUAAGCAGAAUUCCCUCUAGACAGGCAUCUAUGCAUACGGAGCAAAAAAUGAUGUAUAUAAUAAUAAGUUUGAGGCACUGAAAGAUCUUGAAUGAGCUUCUGAAUCAUCAGUUACUGUAUCUUUGGGGAACACCAGAGAAAGACUCUCCUUACCAUCCUCACUGCAACUAAACUUCGGGACCCUGGGCUUUGGGUUCAUGGUCUCGCCACUGAAAAGGUUCCCUCCACACUUUUGGAAUUGUGCACCCAUUGGAACCCUUGAGGUAAAGCUAACCAGAGAAAUUUCUCCCAAGAAGAAGAAGAUGGCAUCCUUGAAGUGAACAGCUUUUCCCAAGUUCACAGAGUAAGACUUCUACUAUCAUGAAACUCUUAUCUUUGAAUAUUUUUUCUUGCUUAUAUCUCUACUAACAAUAGAAGUGGAAAAAGGGUCUGUUAUGUGCACUUAUGGGGUAUACUUUUAUUUGUGAAGAAGUUUGCAGCCAGCCUUAUACAUGGAUAACCUUCUACUUUGAUAGAGAUGAAGGCCCAAUGCAGGUUUUAAAUGCUUGCAUGCAGCCAUCUCUAGAACAUCAAAUGGUCUCUCUUCGACUGGAAUGACAACAGCUGAAAGAAAUGUUCAACCAUGAGGACACCAUACCUAUAAAUGAUGUGCUGAGACUGGAAACCCAAAAUGUUGGUAACUGAGAAGUGGCACUAAGGCCCUAAGUUUUGGUUGCACACUCACCUAAGUGAGAACCUGACCAAAAAGGGGGGAUUUUUAAAACAAAACUCUGUGAGGCCAUUGUUUUGGACUAAGCUCAUGCACUCAUGCCCUGGGCCCCAACAGACUAAAGCAAACACAGAUGGAGUCAUUUGUGCUAAGACUUUAAGGAAACGCUUGGAUUCCACAACAGACUAGCUUUUGUUUUUUUCUUCUGCAAAUCUCUAUAACAAACAUUUCUGACAACAUAGGUAUCCACCCCCUGAAGUUCCCAUUAAAUCUUUUAACCAAAUUCAUUUCCUCUCACCUAGAGACCAUCAAGCUUCAGAUGAUGAUGCAACAAAGGUUUCAGCCAGUUCCAGGUGAAGACACCACCCUUGGACAUCAAGAAGCUACCCUGCCUCCACUAGAUAGAGCAGGGAGAGUUCUGUGAUCCCCAAUAGGGCCUUUGUAGACGCUAUCCCUUUGUGGAGAAGACUCUCAACACCCUUCAAAUACUAUGAUCUCAUCAGGAAGGCCCUCCCUGACCACCUAUGCCUGGAACUGUUCUGGGUUUGUGAGACACAGUUGGGAAGAAGACAGACUUGAGCACGGGCAGCGGUGGUUGCCAUGAAGAUGUGUGAGAAGACAGGCCUGCCUGAAAAUGCUGCUGGUCCUGGUACUGUCCUGCCCGCAACAGCACGCACACUCCAGUCUUGCCUUUUCUUGUGCUUUUUUUUCCAUUUCUUUUUAAAGAAAUCUCAUUUCCCUUCUU
Molecule: long non-coding RNA, 3433 nt
Filed under: Homo sapiens (human)
Lineage: Eukaryota; Metazoa; Chordata; Mammalia; Primates; Hominidae
Description: HSALNT0372706
Source: RNAcentral